CAACGCUGGCGGCGUGCCUCAGACAUGCAAGUCGAACGCGAAAGCCCCCUUCGGGGGGCAAGUAGAGUGGCGCACGGGUGAGUAACACGUAGGUAAUCUACCUUCGGAUGGGGAAUAACAACCGGAAACGGUUGCUAAUACCGCAUAAUGCAGCGGCACCUAAUGGUGACAGUUGUUAAAGCGGGGGAUCGAAAGACCUCGCGUCUGAAGAGGAGCCUGCGGCGGAUUAGCUAGUUGGUAAGGUAACGGCUUACCAAGGCGACGAUCCGUAGCCGGCCUGAGAGGGCGGUCGGCCACACUGACACUGACAUACGGGUCAGACUCCUACGGGAGGCAGCAGUCGGGAAUUUUGGGCAAUGGGCGAAAGCCUGACCCAGCAACGCCGCGUGAAGGAUGAAAUCCCUCGGGAUGUAAACUUCGCAAGAACGGGAAGAAUAAGUAGGGGACAAUACCCCCUAUGAUGACGGUACCGUUUGUAAGCUCCGGCUAACUCCGUGCCAGCAGCCGCGGUAAUACGGGGGGAGCAAGCGUUGUUCGGAUUUACUGGGCGUAAAGGGCGCGUAGGCGGCCAGCACAAGUCAGUUGUGAAAUCUCCGAGCUUAACUCGGAAAGGUCAACUGAUACUGUGCGGCUAGAGUGCGGAAGGGGCAACUGGAAUUCUUGGUGUAGCGGUGAAAUGCCGUAGAUAUCAAGAGGAACACCUGCGGCGAAGGCGGGUUGCUGGGCCGACACUGACGCUGAGGCGCGAAAGCUAG
This 755-nucleotide ribosomal RNA is filed under the name uncultured soil bacterium. RNAcentral describes it as "bacterial SSU rRNA". It matches the Rfam family "Bacterial small subunit ribosomal RNA", at positions 31 to 763 of the family's 1533-position model. The record is from RNAcentral.